RNAcentral lists this unclassified non-coding RNA (468 nucleotides) under Bombus terrestris (buff-tailed bumblebee). RNAcentral's name for it is "misc RNA ENSBTSG00005021687.1". Lineage: Eukaryota; Metazoa; Arthropoda; Insecta; Hymenoptera; Apidae. The record is from RNAcentral.
GUUUUUAUAACGAUAUUAGGACAAUUUAAAUUGUAAACAAAGUUGGUAGUUGAACAAACGUUGGGGAUCUCCACAAACAUUUUCAAAAGAAAGACCCGGACAUUUUUUUAUCUCUGACAGAUAUAAAUAAAUAUAGCGACUCAGAAAAAUCAGUACAUUAAAUACCGUUCGCCAACCGAAUAAUUAUCAUUGUCUGUCGAAGAGUUAGUUAUCAUUUUGUUUAUCGAAGAAUCAUCAUUUUGUCAACCGAAGAAUUUUAUAUCCGUCAGUCUGUCAGUCAAUUGUCAAUAUCGAAAUCGAGUGCACGAGGCGGGUACGGGUUCUCAAGGCGUAGGACCACGCCCUAGCAAACCCGAUGAAUUUGCUAUUCUCCUAUAGCCGGGUGCCUGGUCGGCGCCUUUAGCAUCCGUCACUUCCCGAUCCGGUGCGAAGAACUUCGGAAAAGUUGGUGGGCCCAUAUCUGCCAAG